Molecule: long non-coding RNA, 711 nt
Organism: Homo sapiens (human)
Lineage: Eukaryota; Metazoa; Chordata; Mammalia; Primates; Hominidae
Exons: 7
Source: RefSeq, a predicted model, not a curated record
ACUUGCUUACACUUCACUGCCCAGGAGCAAAUGCUUCAUGUCAUAAUCCCCUGUGGACUGAAUCCGAAUGAGUUUCUCACCAUUCAAGAGGAAAAGCCAGAGAGAACCAACAAUAGUAACACAGGGUAGCAUUUUCAAGAUGCAGAUGACUCCAAAAUUGGCACAUUCGUAUCCUGAAGUUACCUGCAGGAAAAGUAGAUAGUUUCUGGAAUGUUUAUGCCUCUACUUAUAGUGAGCCUUUCAACUUAGACUGAAUUACAUCACCAGCUUCCCUGGUUCUCCUGCUUGCAGAUGGCAGAUUCUUGGCUUCAUAAUCCUGUCUUUCUCCAGAAUUCAGACAACUCUGAAAACCCAAGUCUGUUGCUAGAAGAUAUCUUACUCUAAGAACACACUUUAUUUCAGACAGUGGGAGGUGAAAGACAGAUGAUGGAUAGUAGACUGAGAUGAAAAAAAAAAAAAAAACCCAGACUGGCAGAAAGAAGUUCCUCAGAAAAGAAAGAACAAGGAAUAUGGUUAAUGUUUGGUGGCUGUUGCAACAGAGCUAACAAAUUAGAUUGAUAUUAUCAAAUACUGUUGGUCGUGUGAGACAAUGGAUACCUUCAUAUACACUUUUUGGGAAUUUAACAUGGUGAAGAGUUUUUAAAACUGCAAACAGAUUCUACUAGCAAAACUGGUCUCACUCUGUCACCCAGUCUGAAGUAUAUGAUCGUG